GGGCUUGUGGUUUAGUGGUAUAAUUUUCCCUUAGCAUCUCGAUUAACCUUACCAGUGAUCGAACAGCUUCAAAUAAUUUGGGAAAGGUCCUGGGUUCGAUUCCCAGCAAGUCCA
This is a non-coding RNA of Didymella exigua CBS 183.55, 114 nucleotides long. NCBI's taxonomy places the organism in Eukaryota, Fungi, Ascomycota, Dothideomycetes, Pleosporales, Didymellaceae. The record is from the annotation of a RefSeq genome assembly.